CGAACGGGUGAGUAACGCGUGAGGAGCCUGCCUCAAAGAGGGGGACAACAGUUGGAAACGACUGCUAAUACCGCAUAAGCCCACGACCCGGCAUCGGGAAGAGGGAAAAGGAGCAAUCCGCUUUGAGAUGGCCUCGCGUCCGAUUAGCUAGUUGGUGAGGUAAUGGCCCACCAAGGCGACGAUCGGUAGCCGGACUGAGAGGUUGAACGGCCACAUUGGGACUGAGACACGGCCCAG
RNAcentral lists this ribosomal RNA (237 nucleotides) under uncultured bacterium. RNAcentral describes it as "partial 16S ribosomal RNA". It matches the Rfam family "Bacterial small subunit ribosomal RNA", at positions 99 to 334 of the family's 1533-position model. The record is from RNAcentral.